GACGAACGCUGGCGGCGUGCUUAACACAUGCAAGUCGAACGGAAGGGCCCUGCUUUUGUGGGGUGCUCGAGUGGCGAACGGGUGAGUAACACGUGAGUAACCUGCCCUUGACUUUGGGAUAACUUCAGGAAACUGGGGCUAAUACCGGAUAGGAGCUCCUGCUGCAUGGUGGGGGUUGGAAAGUUUCGGCGGUUGGGGAUGGACUCGCGGCUUAUCAGCUUGUUGGUGGGGUAGUGGCUUACCAAGGCUUUGACGGGUAGCCGGCCUGAGAGGGUGACCGGCCACAUUGGGACUGAGAUACGGCCCAGACUCCUACGGGAGGCAGCAGUGGGGAAUAUUGCACAAUGGGCGGAAGCCUGAUGCAGCAACGCCGCGCGCGGGAUGACGGCCUUCGGGUUGUAAACCGCUUUCGCCUGUGACGAAGCGUGAGUGACGGUAAUGGGUAAAGAAGCACCGGCUAACUACGUG
Molecule: ribosomal RNA, 468 nt
Filed under: uncultured bacterium
Lineage: Bacteria
Description: partial 16S ribosomal RNA
Rfam family: Bacterial small subunit ribosomal RNA
Source: RNAcentral